Molecule: long non-coding RNA, 743 nt
Filed under: Vigna radiata
Lineage: Eukaryota; Viridiplantae; Streptophyta; Magnoliopsida; Fabales; Fabaceae
Description: long non-coding RNA (VRAD_LNC016928)
Source: RNAcentral
AGCAAUACCCUUUAUUUCAAAAUGAAAAAAAAUAGGUUAAACCCCUUCGAAAGUCUUUAUUUAUGUGGGUUUUUUUCAGUUAGAUUCUCGUCUUAUCGGUUUCGCUAAUUUAGUCCUUUAUGAUGAAAAAUUGACUCAAUUGGGCCCUUGCCGUUAAAUUGGCUUAACGAUAUUAAGUUUUUUAUGACCUGUGAUGUUGACGUGGUAAGUUUUUUAUUCGUGACCUUGACAGAGCUCUAUACGUGGAAUUUGAGAACAUUUAACAUUUUAAAAUUAGGGAUUUCUGAAUGUAAAAUGUAAUUAGGGUUUGUUGGUGGAUUUUAAAUGAACCUUAAUUCCUAAUCAAAUGGGGCAAAGCUAUGUCGUCAGUUAUGUCGCGGCACCGUCACCAUAGUCUUGCCGCCAACCAUCCUCGUCACCACAGCCAACCACCAUCCUCAUCUCGUUAGACCACCCAAAGCCACCACCUAACCCUAAUCUAUGCCACACUAUCAAACUGACACCAUCGUUGUUCAUCUUCAUUGUCAAUGUCGCCGCAGUCGCCGGAGAGACCACCCAGCCUCCGAAAUCGCCGCGACAUACCUCCAUCGCAAUCACCAUCUUCCUUCCGCCUUCUUCAAGAACCUGCAAGGAGAGCCAUAGAGAAAAAUGAAGUCUCACAUCGCACAACCGCGAUUUUCUUAUGCCUUUCUUUCUACUUUUCUUUCUGCUCAAGUUCAAUUGAUUGAGUUCCAGCUUGUGAU